This 76-nucleotide transfer RNA is filed under the name Agrococcus jejuensis. RNAcentral's name for it is "tRNA_Thr_TGT". It matches the Rfam family "tRNA". Rfam says of the family: Transfer RNA (tRNA) molecules are approximately 80 nucleotides in length. Lineage: Bacteria; Bacillati; Actinomycetota; Actinomycetes; Micrococcales; Microbacteriaceae. The record is from RNAcentral.
GCCUCCUUAGCUCAUCAGGUAGAGCACCGCACUUGUAAUGCGAAGGUGGCCGGUUCGAGUCCGGCAGGAGGCUCGA